AUGCUUAACUGACGGAGCCACCCAGGCGCCCCUGCGUUGAUUAGUUUUUUAAAGAAACAGACAUACUGUUCCAGGACAGCAUUUUACAUACACGAUUUCACUGAAUGCUCAUGAUAAUCCUAGGAGGGAGAACAAUGAUAUUCCUUUCUCAAGAGAUAAGAAAAUGAAGGUAAUUGGCCAGUUUCAUAAAGCCAACCAGGUCCCCAAAUCCAUGCUUUGGAGUCCUGUGCCAUAUUGGCUUUUCUCCGGAAGGGCGGCAGGCUACCUCGCUCUGGUGGGUGAAGGGCCCCGCCUUAGGUUGGGGGGAAAAGAACUUCCUGAAUAAGCGGCAUCCUACUUGUAGGUGGUCACCAAGGUCAGCUGUCUGUGACUAGCUUCAACCCAGUCCAUCACAGGCUCGGAUCUUCUGCAGCGACGCUGUAACAUGUUUCUCCGGGUUCUAUAUCCCAGGACGCGAUGACCUCAUAAACUCAUAAUCAAGUUUCGUGAUUACAAAACCACUCAAGAAGAACGUGGUUGCUAUGCACUCCUCUGAAGUAAUGACCGAAUAUGGGAGAUCAUUUAAAUCCGGUUGAGAUCACUCCAAUUUCAUUAUCCAAGGUCUCUUCGUGGUUCCGGGCGUGAGAUAGAGAGUUGGCGCAUAAUCUAACAUCUUACAGAAUCUCAGAGAUAAUCUAACCGUGAGAAGCCUUCCCUAUGUAUCUCGUCAAAGAUCUGGCAGUUCAUUAAACUAGCUGGUAAGUGAUGGGUUGUCAAGGCACGCCUAGAUACGUCAUCCCGUCAAUAGACCCCAAACUUCCCCUGCAUUGUAGCCACUAGACACGAAAACCCAGGGCAGAGAAGAGAGGGAAGGGAUAAGAUCAGGAGCUCAUGCUUUGAUGGACCUUCUCUGCUCCAAACAUACAGCAGCGACACAUAAACUAUUGAAACAGAAAACCCCAAAUGCCUGGAUAUACUCAAAGGUUAGUCAAGUGAAGCAGUGGAGAAGGAACAAAGAAAUCUGUAACUGGCUAUGAUCAAUUAGUUGUAAAUUAAUCUCUUAUUUAACAUUUUGAUUGCACCCAAAAAGAU
Leopardus geoffroyi (Geoffroy's cat) is the source of this 1071-nucleotide long non-coding RNA. RefSeq lists it as uncharacterized. NCBI's taxonomy places the organism in Eukaryota, Metazoa, Chordata, Mammalia, Carnivora, Felidae. The transcript is spliced from 2 exons. The record is from RefSeq and is a predicted model, not a curated record.